RNAcentral lists this ribosomal RNA (253 nucleotides) under uncultured bacterium. RNAcentral's name for it is "partial 16S ribosomal RNA". It matches the Rfam family "Bacterial small subunit ribosomal RNA", at positions 524 to 776 of the family's 1533-position model. The record is from RNAcentral.
UACGAAGGGGGCUAGCGUUGUUCGGAAUUACUGGGCGUAAAGCGUGCGCAGGCGGCUUCUCAAGUCAGGGGUGAAAGCCCAGAGCUCAACUCUGGAAUUGCCUUUGAGACUGAGUGGCUUGAGUACGAGAGAGGUGAGUGGAAUUCCCAGUGUAGAGGUGAAAUUCGUAGAUAUUCGGAAGAACACCAGUGGCGAAGGCGACUCGCUGGACAAGUAUUGACGCUGAGGUGCGAAAGCGUGGGGGGCAAACAGG